This 486-nucleotide ribosomal RNA is filed under the name uncultured bacterium. RNAcentral describes it as "partial 16S ribosomal RNA". It matches the Rfam family "Bacterial small subunit ribosomal RNA", at positions 30 to 507 of the family's 1533-position model. The record is from RNAcentral.
AUUGAACGCUGGCGGCAGGCUUAACACAUGCAAGUCGAGCGGAAACGAUGUAGCUUGCUACAGGCGUCGAGCGGCGGACGGGUGAGUAACGCGUAGGAAUCUGCCUAGUAGUGGGGGACAACAUGUGGAAACGCAUGCUAAUACCGCAUACGCCCUACGGGGGAAAGGAGGGGAUCUUCGGACCUUUCGCUAUUAGAUGAGCCUGCGUAAGAUUAGCUAGUUGGUAGGGUAAAGGCCUACCAAGGCGACGAUCUUUAACUGGUCUGAGAGGAUGGCCAGUCACACUGGGACUGAGACACGGCCCAGACUCCUACGGGAGGCAGCAGUGGGGAAUAUUGGACAAUGGGCGCAAGCCUGAUCCAGCCAUGCCGCGUGUGUGAAGAAGGCCUUAGGGUUGUAAAGCACUUUCAGGGGUGAGGAAGGGUGUUUGGUCAAUAUCCAAACAUUUUGACGUUAGCCCCAGAAGAAGCACCGGCUAACUCUGUG